Molecule: ribosomal RNA, 548 nt
Filed under: uncultured bacterium
Lineage: Bacteria
Description: bacterial SSU rRNA
Rfam family: Bacterial small subunit ribosomal RNA
Source: RNAcentral
UAGGGAAUCUUCGGCAAUGGGGGCAACCCUGACCGAGCAACGCCGCGUGAGUGAAGAAGGUUUUCGGAUCGUAAAGCCCUGUUGUAAGAGAAGAACGAGUGUGAGAGUGGAAAGUUCACGCUGUGACGGUAUCUUACCAGAAAGGGACGGCUAACUACGUGCCAGCAGCCGCGGUAAUACGUAGGUCCCGAGCGUUAUCCGGAUUUAUUGGGCGUAAAGCGAGCGCAGGCGGUUAGAUAAGUCUGAAGUUAAAGGCUGUGGCUUAACCAUAGUACGCUUUGGAAACUGUUUAACUUGAGUGCAGAAGGGGAGAGUGGAAUUCCAUGUGUAGCGGUGAAAUGCGUAGAUAUAUGGAGGAACACCGGUGGCGAAAGCGGCUCUCUGGUCUGUAACUGACGCUGAGGCUCGAAAGCGUGGGGAGCAAACAGGAUUAGAUACCCUGGUAGUCCACGCCGUANNGAUGAGUGCUAGGUGUUGGGUCCUUUCCGGGACUCAGUGNCGCAGCUAACGCAUUAANCACUCCGCCUGGGGAGUACNACCNCAANNNU